RNAcentral lists this ribosomal RNA (164 nucleotides) under uncultured bacterium. Its description in RNAcentral is "partial 16S ribosomal RNA". It matches the Rfam family "Bacterial small subunit ribosomal RNA", at positions 355 to 511 of the family's 1533-position model. The record is from RNAcentral.
UAGGGAAUCUUCGGCAAUGGACGAAAGUCUGACCGAGCAACGCCGCGUGAGUGAAGAAGGUUUUCGGAUCGUAAAACUCUGUUGGUAGAGAAGAACACGUAUGAGAGUAACUGUUCAUACGUUGACGGUAUUUAACCAGAAAGUCACGGCUAACUACGUGCCAG